RNAcentral lists this ribosomal RNA (426 nucleotides) under uncultured rumen bacterium. Its description in RNAcentral is "bacterial SSU rRNA". It matches the Rfam family "Bacterial small subunit ribosomal RNA", at positions 354 to 776 of the family's 1533-position model. The record is from RNAcentral.
GUGGGGAAUAUUGGGCAAUGGGGGGAACCCUGACCCAGCCAUGCCGCGUGAGGGAAGUAGGCCCUACGGGUCGUGAACCUCUUUUGUCCAGGGACAAGGACGGCGUCGGGAACGUCGUUUGAGGGUACUGGAAGAAUAAGCAUCGGCUAACUCCGUGCCAGCAGCCGCGGUAAUACGGAGGAUGCGAGCGUUAUCCGGAUUCAUUGGGUUUAAAGGGUGCGCAGGCGGCCGGGCAAGUCAGCGGUGAAAGUCAGGGGCCCAACCCCGGAAGUGCCGUUGAUACUGUUCGGCUGGAAUGCGGUCGAGGCGGGCGGAAUGUGGCGUGUAGCGGUGAAAUGCGUAGAUAUGCCACAGAACGCCGAUAGCGAAGGCAGCUCGCCAGGCCUGCAUUGACGCUCGGGCACGAAAGCGUGGGGAUCGAACAGG